AUGUGUUUGUCUAUAUGUGGCCCUGUGACUGACUGGCAUCCUGUCCAGGGUGUACCCCGCCUCACGUCCUAUGACUGCUGGGAUAGGCUCCAGCCCCCAUGUGACCCUUAAUUGGAUUAAGCGGGUGAAGAUCAGUGAGUGAGAUGCUGUCUGUUGACAAGUUAGAGAU
This is a long non-coding RNA of Thalassophryne amazonica, 169 nucleotides long. RefSeq lists it as uncharacterized. The record is from RefSeq and is a predicted model, not a curated record. NCBI's taxonomy places the organism in Eukaryota, Metazoa, Chordata, Actinopteri, Batrachoidiformes, Batrachoididae. The transcript is spliced from 3 exons.